This 665-nucleotide ribosomal RNA is filed under the name uncultured Micromonosporaceae bacterium. Its description in RNAcentral is "bacterial SSU rRNA". It matches the Rfam family "Bacterial small subunit ribosomal RNA", at positions 136 to 816 of the family's 1533-position model. The record is from RNAcentral. Lineage: Bacteria; Bacillati; Actinomycetota; Actinomycetes; Micromonosporales; Micromonosporaceae.
CUUUGGGAUAACCCUCGGAAACGGGGGCUAAUACCGAAUACGACCUUCUGCCGCAUGGUGGGGGGUGGAAAGUUUUUCGGCCUGGGAUGGGCUCGCGGCCUAUCAGCUUGUUGGUGGGGUGAUGGCCUACCAAGGCGACGACGGGUAGCCGGCCUGAGAGGGCGACCGGCCACACUGGGACUGAGACACGGCCCAGACUCCUACGGGAGGCAGCAGUGGGGAAUAUUGCACAAUGGGCGGAAGCCUGAUGCAGCGACGCCGCGUGAGGGAUGACGGCCUUCGGGUUGUAAACCUCUUUCAGCAGGGACGAAGCGCACGUGAUGGUACCUGCAGAAGAAGCGCCGGCCAACUACGUGCCAGCAGCCGCGGUAAGACGUAGGGCGCGAGCGUUGUCCGGAUUUAUUGGGCGUAAAGAGCUCGUAGGCGGCUUGUCGCGUCGACUGUGAAAACUUGGGGCUCAACCCCAAGCCUGCGGUCGAUACGGGCAGGCUAGAGUUCGGUAGGGGAGACUGGGAUUCCUGGUGUAGCGGUGAAAUGCGCAGAUAUCAGGAGGAACACCGGUGGCGAAGGCGGGUCUCUGGGCCGAUACUGACGCUGAGGAGCGGAAGCGUGGGGAGCGAACAGGAUUAGAUACCCUGGUAAUCCACGCUGUAAACGUUGGGCGC